AAUACGUUCCCGGACCUUGCACACACCGCCCGUCAAGCCAUGGGAGCCGGGCGUACCUAAAGUCGGUAACCGCAAGGAGCUGCCUAGGGUAAAAUCGGUGACUGGGGCU
This 109-nucleotide ribosomal RNA is filed under the name uncultured bacterium. Its description in RNAcentral is "partial 16S ribosomal RNA". It matches the Rfam family "Bacterial small subunit ribosomal RNA", at positions 1365 to 1482 of the family's 1533-position model. The record is from RNAcentral.